CCCAGAAAGUAGAGAAAGUUCUGAGCAGUUUGAGGGAGACUUUCAAUGGACUCGGGGAUCUGGACCCAAAUGGCCGACUUCCCUUGGAAUGGGCCACACAGCUUAGAAGGAAGAUACUGUAGAGCACAGGGACAGCAGAGAUUGCCAGACCCACAAGAAGCACCAACGGGAAAAAGAAAUUUGCUAUGGAGGCUCGGAAAGUGCCAGAGGCCGAUGGAGUCUCUCACUGAACCUGGAACUCACUGUUGAGGAUAGACUGGAUGGCCAGUGAGCCCCUGGCAUCCUUUUGUCUCUGCUGCCCUCCUCCACUCCAUCUAGGGCUACAGAUGUGUGUUGCUGACUCACUCAGCUCUUCUGUGGGUUUUUGGGGAUCCAAACCUAAGUCUUUUAGCUUCUGCUGCAAGCGCUUUAUCCACCAAGCCAUCUCCUCAGCCUUUGUAUUUUGUUUGUUUGUUUUUUUUUUUCUUCAAGACAAUGUUUCCCUGUGCAGUCCUGGCUGUCCUGGAACUUGAUAUGUAGACCAGGCUGGUCUCGAACUCACAGAGCUCUGCCUGCCUUCUGCCUCCAGAGUGCUGGGAUUAAAGGCAUGUGCUACCACUUCCA
Peromyscus californicus insignis is the source of this 603-nucleotide long non-coding RNA. RefSeq lists it as uncharacterized. The transcript has 3 exons. The record is from RefSeq and is a predicted model, not a curated record. NCBI's taxonomy places the organism in Eukaryota, Metazoa, Chordata, Mammalia, Rodentia, Cricetidae.